AUCACAUUACCUGCAUGGAUGCCCUGGGCGAAGAGAUGGUGCUUCUGGCCUUCCUGAAGAACACUGGCUUUGAUGAUCUCCAAGGACCAGAUCCACAUGGGCACAGUUCAGUGGAAAUUACAUAAAUCCUUUAUAGAUCUGGGCCCAAGUAGCUAACAAGAAAAAAACCCAAGAAGGACCACUUCCAAGGCACAACGUGCUCACCCAAGCUCAUCUGCACACACGACGACUUCAGUAGUUCUGUGCCUUCUGUAGAGUUAAACUUCCUGUUGAAAAUCAAUAGCUCUAGCUCUUUGAAGAAGUUUCCCCAGCAUGACCCGUAACGCAGCCUUAGCACAGACCACACUGAGCAGUCCUGUCUGCCCAUGAAACACGUGACUGAGGUCUCAGGUGAACUCCGCCACCUCUUUCAAAAGUUAGCAUGUUCUCAACUGUUGAAGUGAGGGUAUCUAGCUGGGUUAUCCAACGUAUGAGCCUCAUCUCUCUCAGAAGGCUGGAUGGAUAUAAGACUGCUAAUUAAUAAAUAACUUAAAAAAAAAAAUCUCUCCUGAACAUAAAGCUUUCUCUCCAAGUCCAAAGAUGUUAACCUUUGUUUUAAUAUUACUAGCUUGAAUAGUACGUAACAGUAAGUAAAUCUAACA
Grus americana (Whooping crane) is the source of this 641-nucleotide long non-coding RNA. RefSeq lists it as uncharacterized. The transcript is spliced from 3 exons. The record is from RefSeq and is a predicted model, not a curated record. Lineage: Eukaryota; Metazoa; Chordata; Aves; Gruiformes; Gruidae.